RNAcentral lists this small nucleolar RNA (120 nucleotides) under Prolemur simus (greater bamboo lemur). RNAcentral describes it as "Small nucleolar RNA SNORA32 (ENSPSMG00000010971.1)". It matches the Rfam family "Small nucleolar RNA SNORA32". Rfam says of the family: ACA32 is a member of the H/ACA class of snoRNA that guide the sites of modification of uridines to pseudouridines. The record is from Rfam by way of RNAcentral. Lineage: Eukaryota; Metazoa; Chordata; Mammalia; Primates; Lemuridae.
UGGUCAUUAGCAAGGCUUUUAGAAUACCGUUUCUCACUUGCUGUGGACAUGACCAUAAAAAGCUUCCCACCAGGUUUUCUACCUGCUACUUUGCUAGCAAUCAGCCUAUUGGGAACAUUU